Condylostylus longicornis is the source of this 1389-nucleotide long non-coding RNA. RefSeq lists it as uncharacterized. Lineage: Eukaryota; Metazoa; Arthropoda; Insecta; Diptera; Dolichopodidae. The record is from RefSeq and is a predicted model, not a curated record. The transcript is spliced from 3 exons.
UAGUAAAGUGUUAAAUUUCCUGCAGAACACAUUUUUAUGAUUUUACAUCCAAAAAAGUUAAAGGCGGAAACUAAAACUGAUUUGCUUCUUCAAACGGACUGGAUACAUCAACAUAGUAUGUACAUACAAAUGUACAUACAAACAUAUAGCUUCAUAUGGAUUUUACUUAUUGUUGGAAAUUCCGAUGAAAGUUUUUCUAAAAUGAUAAAUUGAACCUGUAAACUUAAUAUGAUGAUACCGUAAUGAAACCAUGAAAUUUUUCGGAUCAACAGAAUAAUUCUAAAGCAAAAGUUGUACGAACAAGACUAUCCAGUAAUUGAAUAUAAUCGGUAUUAUAAUGCGGAAUGCUUAUAUAAGUUCCCAAAAAACCACCGUAAGAACUGUGAACGGAAACACCCUACAAUAUCAGGGAACAACAUGAAAUUAAAUACAUACAUAUAUGCAACCUCUAAUUUAUGGGCACUAUAUAAUAAAACACACGUUAUAUCACGUCGGUGGAACACCACAUACCAAUGUACAGUUUACAAAGGAAAAUCUAGUCAGUAUAAAGUAUAAGAUAUUGAAAAAUAUAGGUUUUAUAGAACCAACGGACAGAAAAGGACGAGAAAGUAUUUAUUAGAAGAGAAGAAGGCAUUCGGCUUCCGCUCAAAAUACCAAAAACUGGCAAUUCUUGAGACGAUCCUAUUAAGCUUUUGGAACUCACUAUUGAAUUAUAUAAUAAAAGCUGGAGAAGUUUGAAUGUUGGUGUUAAUCUUCAAUUAUGUGAUAUACAUAUAUAUUAUGACUAUAUUUCACAUGGAUAGAUGGCAAAUAACUACAAUAUUGAAAACUCUACUAUAUUAUAUUGGUUCAUCCGAAGAACAUUUUGAGAAUUCAUGCUCUAUUAUAAACGUAUUUGAAGCAUUUUGAGUAAGUACUUGCAACAGUAGUCACCGAAUUUCGAACCAGUUUCACGCUGAUGUGAAUCAAGAACAUUGAUGAAGACUCAAUUAGUCUUGAAUCUAAAAAAAAAUCUUUGCUGAGAUUGUGAUAAUUAUGAAUCUUAAUACAAAUUUCCAAAUAUCCAUUUCACUAAAGAAUAAUUAUCCAAGCAAUACAGCUCUUCUCUAAUCAAAUGGAUUUGUUAAUAAAUAAAGCUGUCAUAUUUGGCUUGAUUAGUUACCAGUGACAUUACAACACAUUGCUGAUGCCCUCGAAAAAUAUUCUAUUUGGUGUGAUUUAUGGAUACUUGGCGUUAUUGCUUAUGAAUAGGCUACAAAUAUGCAUUUUUCCUGUAUUUUGCUUUAAAUUAAAAAAUCAAACACUUAACAACUUAGCAAUUCCAACUUUCCAUAACAUGAAAUUAUUAUGAAACAAAUAACAAAUAUUUAAAUUUAUUAGUUAUUUUUG